GAUGAACGCUGGCGGCGUGCUUAACACAUGCAAGUCGAACGGAAAGGCUCCUGCUUGCAGGGGUACUCGAGUGGCGAACGGGUGAGUAACACGUGGGUGAUCUGCCCUGCACUUCGGGAUAAGCCUGGGAAACUGGGUCUAAUACCGGAUAGGACGAUGGUUUGGAUGCCAUUGUGGAAAGUUUUUCGGUGUGGGAUGAGCUCGCGGCCUAUCAGCUUGUUGGUGGGGUAAUGGCCUACCAAGGCGUCGACGGGUAGCCGCCUGAGAGGGUGUACGGCCACAUUGGGACUGAGAUACGGCCCAGACUCCUACGGGAGGCAGCAGUGGGGAAUAUUGCACAAUGGGCGCAAGCCUGAUGCAGCGACGCCGCGUGGGGGAUGACGGCCUUCGGGUUGUAAACUCCUUUCGCUAGGGACGAAGCGCAAGUGACGGUACCUGGAGAAGAAGCACCGGCUAACUACGUG
Molecule: ribosomal RNA, 464 nt
Filed under: uncultured bacterium
Lineage: Bacteria
Description: partial 16S ribosomal RNA
Rfam family: Bacterial small subunit ribosomal RNA
Source: RNAcentral